GUCUAUGGCCAUACCACCCUGAACACACUGAUCUGGUCUGAUCUCAGAAGCUAAGCAGAGUCAGACCUGGUUAGUACUUGAAUGGGAGAAGAAAAACAAACCCUUGUGCACUGCUGGUAGGAAUGCAAA
This is a ribosomal RNA of Panthera pardus (leopard), 129 nucleotides long. Lineage: Eukaryota; Metazoa; Chordata; Mammalia; Carnivora; Felidae. The record is from Ensembl.